Molecule: unclassified non-coding RNA, 766 nt
Filed under: Hevea brasiliensis (rubber tree)
Lineage: Eukaryota; Viridiplantae; Streptophyta; Magnoliopsida; Malpighiales; Euphorbiaceae
Source: RNAcentral
AUCAUCAGUUCCGAUUGCAAGAACGACAUUCACAACCUUUGAUGACAGAGUUGUAGCAGCCCCCCUCUUCUCUCUUCCUCCCAACAGCCUCCUCCUUCCCUCUUCCCCUCCCUUCUUCCCGCUUCCCCUCCCCUCUCCCUUCGCCCCUUCCUCUCCCUUUCCUUUCUCCUUCCUCUCCCCUUCCUCUUCCUCCCAGCCACCCCCUCUCCUCUCUGUUCUUCUCUUCUUCUCCGGCGGAGGAGCAGCAGCGCGAGAACGCCGCCUCUACUCCCUUUUCUAGUGGACAGCAGCUGCGAGGAGAGCAAUAGCAGCCGGACAGCGAGCCUCCAUCACUGGCAUCAGCUCCAGCUGGCGACAACCAGCCGCCAAGCAUCAGCAACUCCGGCGAGCAACAGCAGCAGCGAUGCCGACGAGAACCAGCAACAACAGCUUCCAACAACUUCGAACAGCAUCCACCCGGCAGCAGGCUCCGGCAAACAACAACAACAGCUCUGGCGAUGUAGUGACUCACCGACAUAUUCCGGCGAUAACAUAAUCAAUCCCAAAACUAUCAGCGUGGCUCCAAUUCCGGUAAUCUCUUUCAGCGUUUUUUCUUUUAGAUCUGGCCGGGGGAGUCAAACUCCGCCCACUGUUGUCUUCCUAGCCAUAUUUUAUUUUUUCCUCCGGUGAAUGUUGCUAAUUUGAUGCUUAUUGCUUCCAUUUUGAUGUGCAACUAUUAUUAUCAUAUUCUUUUGUUUAAGCUUUUCUUUUGUUAAUAUGUUACUGC